Capsicum annuum is the source of this 116-nucleotide non-coding RNA. NCBI's taxonomy places the organism in Eukaryota, Viridiplantae, Streptophyta, Magnoliopsida, Solanales, Solanaceae. The record is from Rfam.
GAGAGCACAGUACGAUGAAUGUUGUAAGCUGUGUUCGGGGGGAGGGAGUUAUUAUUUAUCAUCAGCCUCUAUUGUAGAAUUAGUGGGGGGACCUGAGAGGUGGUGGUUUACCUUAU